UACGGAGGGGGCCAGCGUUGUUCGGAAUCAUUGGGCGUAAAGGGCGCGUAGGCGGCCAAGCAAGUCGGAGGUGAAAUCCCUCGGCUCAACCGGGGAACUGCCCCCGAUACUGCUUGGCUCGAGUCCCGGAGAGGGUAGUGGAAUUCCCAGUGUAGCGGUGAAAUGCGUAGAUAUUGGGAGGAACACCGGUGGCGAAGGCGGCUACCUGGACGGGUACUGACGCUGAGGCGCGAAAGCGUGGGGAGCAAACAGG
RNAcentral lists this ribosomal RNA (253 nucleotides) under uncultured bacterium. Its description in RNAcentral is "partial 16S ribosomal RNA". It matches the Rfam family "Bacterial small subunit ribosomal RNA", at positions 524 to 776 of the family's 1533-position model. The record is from RNAcentral. RNAcentral also lists the same sequence under 1 other name.